This 1074-nucleotide ribosomal RNA is filed under the name Triticum aestivum (bread wheat). RNAcentral's name for it is "partial small subunit ribosomal RNA". The record is from RNAcentral. Lineage: Eukaryota; Viridiplantae; Streptophyta; Magnoliopsida; Poales; Poaceae.
AUGGGGACCCGGCGGUGGGUCGCGGCGGCGGCGGCGGUCAUGGUGGCGCUCUUGCUGCUGUCCGCAGCCUCUCACGGAGGACGGAGAGGACCCAGUUUCAACAGCAACAACCGGACUUUUGUUUUUAAUUAUACCCUGGCGAAGACUAUCGUGGAAUAUGCUUCAGCUGUGUAUAUGACGGACCUAACAGCUCUAUAUACAUGGACGUGCUCAAGAUGUAAUGACUUGACUAAAGGUUUUGAGAUUAGGUGUAUAAUUGUCGAUAUCCAGAACUGCUUGCAGGCAUUCAUUGGUGUUGAUCAUAAUCUCAAUGCUGUAAUCGUCGCAAUCAGGGGAACUCAAGAGAACAGUGUACAGAACUGGAUUAAGGACCUGGUAUGGAAGCAGGUUGACCUAAACUAUCCAAACAUGCCCGAUGCGAAGGUCCACACUGGAUUUUACUCUGCUUACAAUAAUACACUUUUACGUCCAGCCAUCACAAAUGCUGUUCGCAAGGCAAGGAGAUUGUAUGGCGAUAUUAGCGUGAUAGUUACAGGGCAUUCGAUGGGAGGAGCUAUGGCUUCUUUCUGUGCACUUGAUCUCGCUAUUAGCCUUGGAAGUGACAGUGUUCAUCUCAUGACUUUUGGGCAACCACGUAUUGGCAAUGCUGCCUUUGCCUCCUACUUUGAACAAUAUGUACCCAGUGCGAUCCGAGUGACACAUGAACAUGAUAUCGUGCCUCAUUUGCCCCCUUAUUUCUUCUUCCUCCCGCACCUGACAUACCACCACUUCCCUAGAGAGGUAUGGGAGCAUGACGUUGAUGGCAACACAACCUUCCGAGUUUGCGACGGCAGCGGAGAAGAUCCAGAUUGUUGCAGGAGUGUGUUUGCGUUGUUCCUCAGUGCCUCAGACCAUCUGACGUACAUGGGUGUUGAGAUAGCAGCAGAUGACUGGAGCACCUGCAGAAUCGUCAUGGCCCAGAGCGUCGAGCGGCUCCAAUUGUAUCUUGCGAGUAAUGUGAUCACGUCGAAGAUCCCUGUCGAUAUAAUCAUUGCGGAUCAUAGCGUGCAGACUGAUCCGAGCAGUUCCAGCUAG